RNAcentral lists this transfer RNA (77 nucleotides) under Candidatus Pelagibacter sp. RNAcentral's name for it is "tRNA-Met". It matches the Rfam family "tRNA". Rfam says of the family: Transfer RNA (tRNA) molecules are approximately 80 nucleotides in length. Lineage: Bacteria; Pseudomonadati; Pseudomonadota; Alphaproteobacteria; Candidatus Pelagibacterales; Candidatus Pelagibacteraceae. RNAcentral also lists the same sequence under 1 other name. The record is from RNAcentral.
GGCGGGGUAGCUCAGUUGGUUAGAGCGCGGGACUCAUAAGCCCGAGGUCAGUGGUUCAAUUCCACUUCCCGCUACCA